Molecule: ribosomal RNA, 467 nt
Filed under: uncultured bacterium
Lineage: Bacteria
Description: partial 16S ribosomal RNA
Rfam family: Bacterial small subunit ribosomal RNA
Source: RNAcentral
GACGAACGCUGGCGGCGUGCUUAACACAUGCAAGUCGAACGGAAAGGCCUCAGCUUGCUGGGGUACUCGAGUGGCGAACGGGUGAGUAACACGUGGGUGAUCUGCCUUGCACUCUGGGAUAAGCUUGGGAAACUGGGUCUAAUACCGGAUAUGAACUGCCUUUAGUGUGGUGGUUGGAAAGUUUUUUCGGUACAAGAUGAGCUCGCGGCCUAUCAGCUUGUUGGUGGGGUAAUGGCCUACCAAGGCGUCGACGGGUAGCCGGCCUGAGAGGGUGUACGGCCACAUUGGGACUGAGAUACGGCCCAGACUCCUACGGGAGGCAGCAGUGGGGAAUAUUGCACAAUGGGCGGAAGCCUGAUGCAGCGACGCCGCGUGGGGGAUGACGGCCUUCGGGUUGUAAACUCCUUUCGACAGGGACGAAGCUUUUUGUGACGGUACCUGUAUAAGAAGCACCGGCUAACUACGUG